GAUGAACGCUGGCGGCGUGCCUAAUACAUGCAAGUCGAGCGUGCCUCUUCGGAGGCCAGCGGCGAACGGGUGAGUAACACGUAGGUGAUCUGCCCAAGAGACGGGGAUAACGUUUGGAAACGAACGCUAAUACCGGAUAGGAUGAAAAUUUAAAGAGGACCUCAAGCCUCGCUCUUGGAUGAGCCUGCGGCGCAUUAGCUAGGUGGAGAGGUAACGGCUCCCCAAGGCAACGAUGCGUAGCCGACCUGAGAGGGUGAACGGCCACACUGGGACUGAGACACGGCCCAGACUCCUACGGGAGGCAGCAGUAGGGAAUCUUCGGCAAUGGACGAAAGUCUGACCGAGCAACGCCGCGUGAACGAAGAAGGCUUUCGGGUCGUAAAGUUCUGUUAUCAGGGAAGAACAAUCAGCGGAGGAAAUGCCGGUGAGGUGACGGUACCUGAUGAGAAAGCCACGGCUAACUACGUGCCAGCCGCCGCAGUAA
RNAcentral lists this ribosomal RNA (484 nucleotides) under uncultured bacterium. RNAcentral describes it as "partial 16S ribosomal RNA". It matches the Rfam family "Bacterial small subunit ribosomal RNA", at positions 28 to 523 of the family's 1533-position model. The record is from RNAcentral.